Molecule: long non-coding RNA, 1969 nt
Filed under: Triticum aestivum (bread wheat)
Lineage: Eukaryota; Viridiplantae; Streptophyta; Magnoliopsida; Poales; Poaceae
Description: long non-coding RNA (TAES_LNC001337)
Source: RNAcentral
AAAGACAUUCAACUCCAGCCAGAGCAAUUCUCAGCCAUGCUUCCUUCUCAGUAGCACAAUAGCUGAAAAAUGUAACUUUCUUAAUAACUGUACAUCAAUACCGCAAAUACACACUUACUGUGAUAGAUUCCAAACUUAGUACAAAUUCCCCUCUCCAGUUCAUCUUGAAAUUAAGAGUUUAGAAGAAAGUAAGAUUUCCAUUUGUGCUAUACCAAUCAGGAUGCAUUUACUGUUGAAAACUAUAUAUAUAGAUGAUCGUGCGGCCAGAGCUAGCGCUCAGCAACAAUAGUCCAGUUCUCUUUUGUCCGCCACUUUCUCAAACUUAAGAUGAAUUGCUCGUUCCUAUCUCUAUGCCGUUACAAAUGAGCAGACGGCAUUUAGCACGGAAGGCUGAAAUUUCUAGGCAUCAAUCUUGUGAACAGAUGAGUUAUGAAGCAAAAGAUACAUACUGCAGAGUAAAACUACAUGAGAAAUGAUUAGUGGAAAACAAUAUAAUUUGUUUAUUGUAAGAACUGAAAACACCGGAGAACCAAUAUACUUCUUAUAGUAAUAAUUCAUAUCCAAAAAGUAAUCGAUUAUGGGAGCAUCUAACGCUGAUUUAAGCAGACAUUUCAUAAAAACAUGUCAAAGAAUUAUCACUUAUAUCCAACUAAUUACUAAAACGGGAUUUACUGUCAGUAUACAUCUAUAUUCAAUUAGAAAUUAUGGAGAUCCAAGGAGAAUUAUCUAGGUUGUAUGACAUGAGUGCAUAAAUCUUACAAAGGCUAAUUAAUCAUCAGAUACCUUAACGUCUCAAAAAGCUUAACCCUUAGAAUAUUUCCAUAUCUAGAAUGAAACUAAUCACAUCAUGUAAUUACUAAAACAGGUACAAAAUACAGUCAAGUCGAUUUUUCAUUUUUACAGAACAAUUGGUGAGCAUGACAUUGAGCUAUCGUAUCACUAAAAUGUAGCAGCCAAUGGGACCAGCAGAAACCUAUACAUCUAGAAGAAAAUAGUAUCCAAAAUUGUACCAUUGAAGGGAACUGAUACUCAGACCAAGAUAAAGUCUGCUUCACGGCCACACACACACAUUCAGUUACAAUCAGCUUAGUCGACCUGUGAGAGGAGCCUGUGUGUACAUAUUGGACACUACCUGGAUACAUAUAGAUUGUUGUGAUGGAAGUCUCGGGCUCGUAAUGUGGAGAUGGAUGACUCAAGCAGAGCGACAACAUGUGUACACAUAGAAAAUAAUAUAGUGGUUACUUAUCAAACUCAGUUAUUGUCUCAACUGGAAACAUGCAAGCGGAAUUCCGAGAAGAGAUAAUGUCGCAAUCAUCCAAAUAUGCGAUUAAAAUAGUGAUAUGAAAUUGAAGGAUUUCUAUUAACUUGCAAAAUCAGAAUAGUAUUGUCAAAGUGCAACAUUAUUUCAAUUUACUAAAAACUCAAAAAUGCUUGAUCGUUAAGAACUUCUUUGGAAGUCAAGUUAAAAGUCCAGGUGGAUUAAUAUUCUUAGGAUAACUGGCCAAGUAUAUGUGCUAUAUUGAGUCUUCAGUUUAGGUUCUGUAUAUAUAGAUUCCUAGCCAAAAAUUACAGCCUAUACUAAUACUGUAAUACAUGACUGGAUAUCAAGAUCAUCAGGAUAAAUAGUUUCCUUAUAGAAUCACGUAUGGUUGUGCAGCUAAUUAAACAUCUAGAUAAAUAUAAAGGAUAUACCUUCUUUUCAUCUGACAAUCUCCCAUAAUCAACCACACUUGUAAUAUCUUGAAAGGAGUUUGUGCCUGUAAUUGGGAGGGUCUUGUGAAAUGUUUAAUCUAGUUAUCCUUGCCUUCCUCUGUAGAUAACCAGGUGCAGUACUGAUCAAACAAAAAAAAUAUUCACAAGAAAUGAAAAGAGGGUGCAACAUUGCAAAUAAAAAAUAGACCUGACGCAUGAAAAUGCAGCUCCAUUUGGAAUCUGCUCUCUAGUCAAGUAUUUUCUUAAGCAAAUAGGC